CCUCUCGGGGGUAAGCGGGUAGAACUUGCAAGUAUUGAUGAAAGAUUCAGACUUUGAUUUUAUUUGUUUAGUAAAUAUUGUUAAGUUAUUCUUUCGAGAAUUGACUAAUUUGUUUACUUUAAUCUUAUAAAUGAACGUCGCAUUUCUUUUAUUCAUUCGGGUUGCAUGCAACUGAUUUUGGUAGUUUUAGGGAUUAGAAAUCUGUAAAGUUAUUAUUCGUAAUAAUUUUAAGUUUUAAUUUACCAACUACUAUUGCGGUUGUAUUAAUAAAUAAACAUGAGUUUAAUGACUCGGUCAAUUUUACUUACUAGUUGUGUACAUUUUUUAUAUGGACGAGUAAUCGUAAUAUAUUUAAUGUACUAAUUGUCUGUAAGUAAUAUUUUUUGGCAAUGUUUACUAUUGCAAUCUAAAGCAUGCGUGGUCUGCCUGU
Molecule: ribosomal RNA, 430 nt
Filed under: Microgastrura sensiliata
Lineage: Eukaryota; Metazoa; Arthropoda; Collembola; Poduromorpha; Hypogastruridae
Description: partial 28S ribosomal RNA
Source: RNAcentral